Molecule: ribosomal RNA, 494 nt
Filed under: uncultured bacterium
Lineage: Bacteria
Description: partial 16S ribosomal RNA
Rfam family: Bacterial small subunit ribosomal RNA
Source: RNAcentral
GACGAACGCUGGCGGCGUGCUUAACACAUGCAAGUCGAACGGAAAGGCCUGCUUUCCCUUGUGGAUUGCGGGUACUCGAGUGGCGAACGGGUGAGUAACACGUGAGUGAUCUGCCCCCAACUUGGGUAUAAGCCUGGGAAACUGUGUCUAAUUCCCGAUAGGACUGCAGGGUGGUGCCUGUGGUGGAAAACGAUUUUCUAGUGGUUGGGGAUGAGCUCGCGGCCUAUCAGCUUGUUGGUGGGGUAAUGGCCUACCAAGGCGGCGACGGGUAGCCGGCCUGAGAGGGUGGACGGCCACAUUGGGACUGAGAUACGGCCCAGACUCCUACGGGAGGCAGCAGUGGGGAAUAGUGCACAAUGGGCGGAAGCCUGAUGCAGCGACGCCGCGUGGGGGAUGACGGCCUUCGGGUUGUAAACUCCUUUCGACCGCGAGGAAGCCACCUGGUUGGAAGGGUGGUGACGGUAGUGGUAGAAGAAGCACCGGCUAACUACGUG